Molecule: long non-coding RNA, 1039 nt
Filed under: Lepidothrix coronata (blue-crowned manakin)
Lineage: Eukaryota; Metazoa; Chordata; Aves; Passeriformes; Pipridae
Description: lncRNA (ENSLCOG00000014468.1)
Source: RNAcentral
AUCUACAUGGAUAUGCUGAUAAACUGCCAUUUAGUCCAGAGGCUGGACAGAAAUAAAUCACCAGAUAAAAUACAAUAUUCCUAGUGAAAACCCUUAUGGAAUGCAUUCUUGCCCCAAACUCCCCCUGGAAUAGGCACAGCAAUGCUCCCUGAGACCUGGCAGCCCUUCUAAGUGAGCAUAUGGUCUGCUCAGCUCCUGCAGUACCGGUGCACGGCUUGGCAUUUGCCUGUACGCACGCAGGCACAUUGCUCGGGGAUGACAGGAAAACAUGAUUAUGACUUGCAAAUAAUACAAAUAGAAAAAAGGAAAAGCGAGAGGAGCUGCCAUGCAGCAGCAGCGUGGUAAUUAAACUUAUACUGUGAUAUGCAAAAAGAAUAGUGGACCACUGCAUGAGUAAAAUAGCUUUAUCAGCUGUGCUGAAAUAUGACUUGUUGCGUGUCUGUAUUGUUGUUUUUCCACAACCUGUGAAGCCCUGGGAAAUGCUCUAUGCAAGAGGAUAAGAAGUAAAAGCUGCCUCUGCCAUCUUCUGUUUAAUUAACAUAGGUAUACCAAUUUAAUGCAAUUAAUCAAGAUAGGAGGGAUUAAACAGUAACUCUCAGUUGACAAUGACAAUAUUGUUGUUGUUGUGGCAUAAGAAGGGCUACAAAAUGAUAGUGGUGACCGGGAACACUGUGAGUAAGAACAGGCUGGCUGGAGUCUUGGGAGGUUUAUGCAGAUGUAUUGAAAUUUAGGGACCGCUGAUUUUUCAUGUGACCAAGUGUUUAUCUGCCCCUGCCCUUCCCUUUACCCUCUCAGACCUUCCAGGGUAAUCCCCAGAGUGGCAACAACUUUUAAAGUGAUUCCUCUUUCUUCUAACAGGUUCCUGAUGCCAAAGGUCUGACCUUAAAAUGAGCAGUGCAUAGGGCAAGAAUGGGUACUGCAGAGAGCUUCUGGCCUUCAACCCUUCCAAAUACAGCUAUUUUGCAAGUUCUUGUUACCCAGUUCCCGCUGACAAUGAGGGAAGAGGCACAAGUCAGCUCAGAAAAUGAACGACUAGAAG